CUGGAAUCUGACAAAUUUGUGGAGUUCAAAAGAUUCAGUUGUAGGAGCAUAUCUCAGGACCUAGAGAAAGUUCUAUAGUUUUUCAGUUAUUGUCAAGAAAAGGGUUAAAGUGAUGAGUCAGCGAGAUGCGUGUUUGCCAGGCAAACUCGGAUGCCAGCUGUCCCUUACACUGAGGGGCUGGCCACCUCCCUCCGUGGGAGAGAAUGUUACUCCAGAUAGGUGGGCGCGCCACCAGUGUGUGUGUCCUUGAGUCUAGCCAAGGCUGGGAAUGACCCUUCCAGUCUUGCAGGCUUGUUGACACCAAGUCUGAACACAACACUUAAGAAACUAACAAACUGGAUAUCGUGCUGUGUUCUGAUCCUGCCCCAGAACUUUCCCCUUCCUCCUUGGUGCUGUCUUCUUCCUCUUUGGUGCUGUGUAUGAUAACAUAUUAUUUGACUCUGCUCAUAUCUACUAUACUUUUAUAAUCAAUUUACUUGCAUCUUUUUAAAAUCAUGAUGUAGUUCUUCUCUGUCAGUGCAGAUCUGAACCUCAACUUUCUGUGGCCACAUCUAUAUGGCUCCUUGGUAUUACGAUUAUACAAAUACAUACAUGAAUUGAAGGAAAGGGUGAUCACUUUUGAGCUCUUAUUGAUAUGCAGAUUCCAAAGGAAGUAAGGCCUCAAAAGGCAGAGUGUUUUCACUUAAAGUGCAAAAGACAGGGAUGUAAAGAAGGUGGCAUAGAUUAAAGCAGGUGAUGGUAUAGAACCUGUAGGGAGAAAGGCUUUUGUGACCCAAGAAAGGCCUAGAAUGUCCUAGUUUGGAUGUAUCCAGGACAUCCACGUGGAUGAGCCCCGAAGGAGAGGUGGGCGAGAUCCCGGAGUAUAGAAAGAUCUGUGAGACGAUGAAAAUAAAGCGCGUAAUAGCUGUGGACUACAUUCAAAGUUGUUAUUCCACAAUUAUCAAACACAACAGGAAGAAAGAGGAAGAUGAAUGGAGGAUUUCAGCGUCUUUCGCAUGAGGCAAAAGGAAAAAGUGCGUCUGCAGCGCCCUUCUGCAGCUCCCGUGCUCACUGCCACCCUCGGCGGGCGAAGGAGUCCCCACGCACACACUGCCCCGCUGCCGAGGCUCGCAGGGUCAGUUACACGAAACCCGUCAGAGAUGGCCUUUGUUCUUAUCCCACCAGACAGACUCUGACCCAGGCCGAAUCUUACCAGAGAAGUGGAAACCAACACCAAGGCACCUGCUCUGGCCCCCAAGAAAUCAACACUGCCACCCAGCGACAGCAAUGGCUACUGCAGACGAGCAAGCAUAGAGUUUAAAGUACAGGCCCAGGCCCCAAAAGAAAAUUAAACCUGGCAAAAAUACAUUAAAGGCACUACAUUACAGGAGCCAAGUAAUAGCCCUACUGUGCUGAAUUACUUUAGAAUCCACUACUGUCACCUGGCAACAGCUCAGUGCUUAUCUGCCUCCGUGGCAGAGGAGUCGCAAGGCAUCUGGGCACCUAGAGGUCCCCUCCGACAUUUGUCGUUGCUGAUGUUUAAAGAGAAAAUAGUGAAUGAUUCCGGCUGUGCCUAGAAGCUGUGUUAGGGAAAUAUGAGAAGUGGCACGAACUUCAUAUACCAAAAUAAAAAUCAAUUUUGGUGCAAUGACUAGGAUUAAAAGGUUUGGGAUCGUUCAUGUGCGCGCACCUGUGUGUGUGUGUGUGUGUGUGUGUGUGUGUGUGUGUGCGCAUGCACGCUCACAUGCAGUAUCAGCACUGCAACACCUGGUCAGAUAACAUUUUAAGACAUUUCUGUACCAGGAGUGUCAAGGUCAUGUUUUUCUCAUAGCUAAGCCAGAAAUACUAAAAACAAGUAACUCAAACGUCAUUUAUUUGGCGAUACAGCAGCAAAGGAACAGCAACGUCUCUGCUGAGUAACUCAGACUCACCGCCACCUCCAGAACUGAGGACUGUUCUUCCAGUACGGCAAGAAGUGCCUGACCUGGGUCAUCAGAGGCAAAGCUCUUAUUCAAACACUACUGCAACUAGAACCAUAAAGCUCAAAAUGCACGACGAGACACACU
This 2045-nucleotide long non-coding RNA is filed under the name Fukomys damarensis (Damara mole-rat). Its description in RNAcentral is "lncRNA (ENSFDAG00000033266.1)". Lineage: Eukaryota; Metazoa; Chordata; Mammalia; Rodentia; Bathyergidae. The record is from RNAcentral.